UACAGAGGUCUCAAGCGUUGUUCGGAUUCAUUGGGCGUAAAGGGUGUGUAGGUGGCGCGUUAAGUCGGGUGUGAAAUUUCGGAGCUUAACUCCGAAACUGCAUUCGAUACUGGCGUGCUUGAGGACUGGAGAGGAGACUGGAAUUUACGGUGUAGCAGUGAAAUGCGUAGAUAUCGUAAGGAAGACCAGUGGCGAAGGCGGGUCUCUGGACAGUUCCUGACGCUGAGGCACGAAGGCUAGGGGAGCAAACAGG
This 253-nucleotide ribosomal RNA is filed under the name uncultured bacterium. RNAcentral's name for it is "partial 16S ribosomal RNA". It matches the Rfam family "Bacterial small subunit ribosomal RNA", at positions 524 to 776 of the family's 1533-position model. The record is from RNAcentral.